UACGAACUGUGCGAACGUUAUUCGGAAUCACUGGGCUUAAAGGGCGCGUAGGCGGGUCAUCAAGUCCGGGGUGAAAGCCCACGGCCCAACCGUGGAAGUGCCUUGGAUACUGAAGACCUCGAGGGGGAUAGGGGCGUGCGGAACUCAGGGUGGAGCGGUGAAAUGCGUAGAUAUCCUGAGGAACACCGGUGGCGAAAGCGGCGCGCUGGAUCCCUUCUGACGCUGAGGCGCGAAAGCCAGGGGAGCAAACGGG
RNAcentral lists this ribosomal RNA (253 nucleotides) under uncultured bacterium. Its description in RNAcentral is "partial 16S ribosomal RNA". It matches the Rfam family "Bacterial small subunit ribosomal RNA", at positions 524 to 776 of the family's 1533-position model. The record is from RNAcentral.